This is an RNA transcript of Camelus dromedarius (Arabian camel), 5354 nucleotides long. It is a transcript of the gene named GDNF family receptor alpha 4, with no coding region annotated. The transcript is spliced from 4 exons. NCBI's taxonomy places the organism in Eukaryota, Metazoa, Chordata, Mammalia, Artiodactyla, Camelidae. The record is from RefSeq and is a predicted model, not a curated record.
AUCAUUGUUUCUAAGAACAGUUUAGAGCUUUAGCUUUUUUUUCUUUUGAGUAAAGGUAGAUUUAUUUAGAGAGAUACAUACUACAUAGAGUUUAAGGCAAGACAAUGACCAUGAGGUGUGGGGGUUGGGCACUCAGUUUAAAGUAAAAGUAGGUACACACUCCAAAGACAGUGUGGGCUGUCUCCGGAGAUGAGGGAGCAAGAGAGGCCUAGAGCCUUAGCUUUUUAAACUCACAUAGUUAUCAAAGGAAUAAGUACUCUCCUGGUUGGAACCAAACACAAAUCAAACUGGCUUGGGCAUACAACUGAGCAGUCUGGGCUUCAGGCACAGCUGUCUCCAGGGGUUCAAAAAAAUGUUGCCCCUGCUGGUCUGUGCUCCCCUCUGAGGCCAGACAGGCUCUUACCACAGGGUAGGUGAGGAUGCUAGCAGCAGCCCCGGAUCUACACGCUCUCCUUGUAGCACUCUCAGCAGAGAAAGGCACUCUUCUUUCCCAGCAUUUGUGACUUGGAGAGUGACAUGAGCCUACCAAGAUCACAUGGAAUGGGAAGGACAGGUUUCCACUAGAAAAAAGGAGGGGUAUUGGGUAGAGUGAGGCUCAGAGUCUAGCCUGUUCCCACUUCACAAAGAAGAAGGAAUGUUCUCAGCCACCUGCACCUGUGUGGGGAUGCACACCUGCAAGAGGACUGGAGAGAGGGGUGUGGGUGGGGAGUGGGGUGGCAAGUGAAAGCAUCGCCUUGCCCUGUUGACCAUCAAUGUCAUAAGGGAUAGUGGUCUGUAGCUUUCUUGUGUGGUGGCCCAAAUUCAGAAUUAAACAUCUGCUAAGUGAUUUGCCUUUUGUGAGAGUGUUGAACUCAACUACUCCCAUCUUUUAUUCAGAUAAUUUGAGUGAAAAAUAGGCAUACACUUUUCCAAAGAUUGGGAAGAGAAAAGUGAGCAGAACUUGGCUGAAAAUAGCAUAACUGUUCCAUGGUAGCUGGCCUUCAUCCUUCAGUCCUUCUCUCCAGAGCAGGCACAGGGUUUAAUCAAGUGGAACCUCUUUAACAUCAGACAAUGGGCAACAGCAAAGAGGCGUCCUUAUUGGGUGCAGGGGAGAAGGGAAAGGUCAUGGGGUCCCCGAGUGAGCCUGGCUCUCUGUUUUUUCCUAGACUGAACAUUUCCUGUGGGAGGCUUGAGGCUGUCAGGGGCAUGGCCCAGCCAAGAAGGGGGAUAAGGCACUGUGGCAUGCAGAGGGACAGUUGACUUUCCUGGGGUUUUGUUGCUGUAAUGGGCUGACUAGUGGCCCCAAAGAUAUGCCCACAUCCUAAUUCCUGGGAAUCUGUGAAGUUUAGCUUAUAUGUAGGCAAAAGAGUGACUAUCACCUUAUAUGGGAAAGAUGUGAUUAAGUUAAAGAUCCUAAGAGAUGCUUAUCCUGGAUUAUCAGUGGGCCAUAAAUGCGGUCACACAUAUCCUCAUAAGAGAGAGGCAGAGGGAGAUUAAACACAGACACACAGAAGAGAGGGGCCGGGAAGACACAGGCAGACAGGAGAGAUGCAGCCCCAAGCCAAGGGAUGCCCGCAGCCACCCAAAGCUAGAAGAGGCCAGGAACAGAUUCUGCCCUAGAGUGUCUACUCUGGAGAGAGUGCAGUCCUGCCAGCACCACGACUUUGGACAUUUGGCCCCCAGAACUGUGAGAGUAAAUUUCCAUCACUUAAAGCCACCAUGGUUGGGUAGUUUGUUACAGCAGCCCCAGAAAACUAAAUGGAGUGUUUGUUUUCUGUCACUUCAAUAUAAUGUGGCUUAUAACGUGGUGUUAAGUCUUGCCAGAUACCUCAAAGCUGAGUCCAGCUUGGCCCCCACGACCAGGAGGGGGUCCUGCCGGGUAAUCAGCUUGCUGUCACUCUCACCUGCACCAUAGGAAACUGCGGCCCUGGCCCUGGCCUCAUCCCUGUGACUGGGUCUCUGUUGGCUGAUGUCAGCACUGAGCCUCUAGCUGGCAGGUGGCGGGGGGUGGGGGCAGGCAGAACAGCAGGUGCUGGAAGCAUUUCUGGAUUUAUGGGUGGAAACUUCACGGCUCAUGAACAUCCGCUCUAGCUUGGAGCCUGUUGUCUCAGGUGCAAGGUUGACAGCUGCCCGCUGCCUGCCUGCUUCCCCCACCCUCCCCAACAGAGUCAGGUGGGGCCAAACUCACAGAACUGGCUUAUCUUUACAGGAAAUGUGGACACGGGUGGGUGAAAUUUCCAGAGAGCCAGGAGGGGUCCCCAGCUGGAUAGCAACUUGCCAGUGAGCCAGGCACGCACGUGAAAGGAGGCAGAGACACGGCCCGGGAAGGCCUGGGUGAAGGAUGUUUUGGGAAACCGUUGUGCCAGGGACACAUCACUCCACACCCGAAGGAGCCUCCAGUCCAAGGCAGAAGACCCAAGGGAAAAUUAAGAUGAAUACACACACAAGAAAAUAAAAUACACGCAAAACUUUAGAACCUGAGUCGCAAAGGGACUGGGAUUUAAGCAAAUGAGGAAGGGCCCCCAGGGUAUGCAGACGGGGCCAGGGCCGAGCCCCAGCACUCCAUGCAACACACUUCAUACAAUCAUCGGGGUCAUCUGGUCUAGUGCCUUCCUUGUGUUCUGGACACAGGAUGGAGGAGAAUUCUUGCCAGGCAGGUCACACAGCUAGUAACAGGGCCUCAGGGCGUGUGUCUGUCUUUACAGACGCAACCCACACAAGUGUGUGGGGUUGAGGACUCAGAUGCCAGAAAUGACGUUGUGAUUGGUGACAGAAUUUUCCAAAAUGAUGACCGGCUCUUGGUACAGUUUUGAAAAGAGCAAAGUCCACUAUUCCUUUUAUUUACACAGUAAAAUAAUUGCAUUUCCAGAAAAUUUUGUGUUUACAACAGGGUUGGGUUCUACACUAAAAUAAUUAGAAACAGAUUUUUUUCAUCUAUACAAAUAUACAGCAAGAUAUUUGAAAAUUGAGUGGGACAUGGGUCAAUUCCUUGCUGGGCAGGAUAGUCCUGCAUGUCACAGGAUGGCCACGUUCAGGCCCAGUCACUAAAUCACAGCAUUGCCACCCUUUGAAUGCAGUUAUCAAAUUGCCCCACCUCUUCCCACGGUGUCCCCUAGGGGGCAGUCCUGUGCCAGUUGAGAACCGUUGCCCUGCGGGAUCUGGCUGGCCCCAGCUCCUCCCAAUGCUGUCCUUCCCAUUUUUCUCCAGCAACCUCCCCGACAACCCCAGCACUUUCUACCCCAAGCUGAUUUUUACCUUUCUUCACAGGACUCAUCACCUGGCAUUGUCUUGAUUAUGUCUCCCCCACUAGAUGGUAGUAGACUCCAUGUGAACGGGGAUUUUUGUCUGUCUUGGUCUCUGUGAAGUCCCUGGUCCCUAUGCAGCGCCUGGCCAUCAGACAGGGGCAAGGCAGGUCGAGGGUCAGUGACAGCAGAGGGUCCUGGUUCUUUUCUGGACACAGAUCUCAGGUUGACUUUAUUUUUUCCCUAACUUAGCCACAUGCCUCUCCCUCAAGAUGAUGGCCUUGAGGUUAAGAGGCUCAAGCAGGAAGACCACACCCUCUGAUUCUCACCAUGGGGCUGUCACUAAGUCUCACUGGGCCUUCUUUGCUUAUGAGCUCCUCUUACUGUUUGGAGACUAGAAGCAAGACUAGUUGGCUCUUCUAACACCACAUGACCCUGGAUUUCAGGACCCUCCACACCUUUCACUUCUUGUUACCUGGCUAAUUCUGGAACUCAGCUCCAUCUUUUGAUGCCUUGCCAAAAGCAGCCAAUAACAAUCAGCAGGCCUUUUGCAUUCUGCACCAGGGCGCUGAAAUGCACUGUUCUGACCCUGUUCUGAGGUCCUGCAGGGGCCGUGUAAAGUGGGGCAGACACGCAGACAAGGCUCGGUAUAGUCCUUGAACCUAAAGACUCAGGAUGAGACCGGCCAUCCCUGGCCACCCGCAGCACCAAGAGGCCGACAGGGAGACUCAUGGCGCACUUGCGGAGCCAAUGCCAGCAACUGCCCGCCUUUUCACGUGUGCACCGAUGUGAUUCCUGCUCUCAGAGUUCUCCAAUUGGUCCCGGAUGCAUUUGAACACAUGGCCACAAUGGGGAUGCCUUUCUCAGCUUUGUUAUCACCAUAUCAGGGCCUAACGGGAGGACGUCUCUGAACCUGGAUUUCCAGUAUAUGGCACAAAAAUAUGGUAGGUGAAACUCAGACACCGUUACGUUUAAUAAAAAUACAUUAAGAUAUUUUUCUGUUUUAUGUACACCCCGAAUGUCUGAACAUUCGGACACUACUGUAUAGUUAUGUACAAGUGCAAUAUCAAUGUUUUCAUGACUAUUUGAAUUUAUAUACAGGCUCUCCGGUGACACGCAGGCGUUUCUCUGGAGCUCCAGAUGACUUCCUCUUGGUAACUGGCUCUAAGCUGGGUGUCUCUUUCUCUUGCUCUUCCCUUCUUCUGGCCUGAGCCUGGAGGAAACUGUUAGCUACUGGCUGCAAAGGAGAAGCAGGUGGAGUCAGCUGUUUCUCCCCUGCUGGAGCAGAAUUAAACUUCACUUGCUCCUUCCUUUCUUUUAAAAAAUAAACAUUAUCUUUUAGAAAAAAAAAAAAAAAGUAACCAGGUGGCUGUGGGACACACUGCAUGUUAUUUCAAGGCAUGGGACUACCACGGGGAAGAGGCUUCUUUGUCAAGGAAACACCGGUUCUUUGAACAAACAAGGACUUCCCCUGGCGGAGGGUGCUUGCCAGUGGCCUCGUGGUAAUUACAGGGGUGAAAGGCCAGUCUAUGGCAGGCUCUCUGUGGGUGCUGCGAUCUUGUGAUCUGGGGGAGGGAUGUGGGGACCUCGUAAGAGGAGGGGUCUUUUCUAGAACCGUCUGCUCUUUAACAGUGAUGUAAAAAAGCAGCAUUUUGAGAGGCGAGGCUCAAAGUCGAGGUGUUUUGUGCAUCAGACAGUGUUUUAUGGUUCGACAUCCUUGAAAACAUCUUUCCAGGCAAUUCUUCAUGGGAGUGGGGGUAGUGAUGGGCAAGAGAUAAUACUCCCUCUCUAGGCACUGCAUAUAAAGGUGAAAUGCCAUAGUUUUUGCUCUUUUCAGUGUUAAUUUCUCUGAAUUCACAAACUUGAGCAUUGCUGUCUAAAGGUCCAUCCCACCAGGGUGAUGCCAGAGAACCCUGGGUCUUGAAGCAGAAGAGAGAUCUUGGGAGGCUGCUGCAUAAAGCCAGAGUACAGAGCACCAUGGACGGGGACAACACGAUGUUCAGGCAGUGCCCUGGAGAACAGCAGGGACAGCCCUACCCCACGUACAUUUGGUCACUUUCCAUUUGGCAUAGUUUUCCUUCUUUGUCCAUUUUCCCCAUGUGCUUUUCAUCCUUAUCAGCGUUCACUGUCCUC